AGGUCUGCCUGCCCGUGAUUUAAUUUAACGGCCGCGGUAUCUUAACCGUGCAAAGGUAGCAUAAUCAUUUGUUCUUUAAAUUAGGACUAGUAUGAACGGCACCACGAGGGUUUAACUGUCUCCCUCUUUUAAUCAAUGAAAUUAAUCUUCCCGUGAAAAAGCGGGAAUAUUAUUAUAAGACGAGAAGACCCCAUGGAGCUUUAAACUUAUUACCACUUAUUUUAUAAUAUAACAUAGUACUCAAUAAAAGUGUUCUUCAAUAGUUUUUGGUUGGGGCGACCCUGGAGAAAAAUCAAUCCUCCAGACUGAAAGGAGCAUAAACCUUAUAUAAGAACCACAAUUCAAAUAAACAAAAAUUUGACAAAACUGACCCAGAGUAAACUGAUCAGUGAACCAAGUUACCCUGGGGAUAACAGCGCAAUCCAUUUUGAGAGCCCAUAUCGACAAAUGGGUUUACGACCUCGAUGUUGGAUCAGGGAAUCCCAGCAGCGCAGCCGUUGCUAAUGGUUCGUUUGUUCAACGAUUAAUACCCUACGUGAUCUGAGUUCAGACCGGA
Molecule: ribosomal RNA, 556 nt
Filed under: Hyperolius endjami
Lineage: Eukaryota; Metazoa; Chordata; Amphibia; Anura; Hyperoliidae
Description: partial large subunit ribosomal RNA
Rfam family: Bacterial large subunit ribosomal RNA
Source: RNAcentral